AGAGUUUGAUCAUGGCUCAGGAUGAACGCUAGCUACAGGCUUAACACAUGCAAGUCGAGGGGCAGCAUGGUCUUAGCUUGCUAAGACCGAUGGCGACCGGCGCACGGGUGAGUAACGCGUAUCCAACCUGCCUUACACUCUUGGACAGCCUUCUGAGAGGGAGAUUAAUACAAGAUGUUAUCAUGAGUAAGCAUUUUCACAUGAUUAAAGGUUACCGGUGUAAGAUGGGGAUGCGUUCCAUUAGAUAGUAGGCGGGGUAACGGCCACCUAGUCUUCGAUGGAUAGGGGUUCUGAGAGGAAGGUCCCCCANAUUGGAACUGAGACACGGUCCAAACUCCUACGGGAGGCA
RNAcentral lists this ribosomal RNA (349 nucleotides) under uncultured bacterium. RNAcentral describes it as "bacterial SSU rRNA". It matches the Rfam family "Bacterial small subunit ribosomal RNA", at positions 8 to 350 of the family's 1533-position model. The record is from RNAcentral.